This 253-nucleotide ribosomal RNA is filed under the name uncultured bacterium. RNAcentral describes it as "partial 16S ribosomal RNA". It matches the Rfam family "Bacterial small subunit ribosomal RNA", at positions 524 to 776 of the family's 1533-position model. The record is from RNAcentral.
UACAGAGGGUGCAAGCGUUAAUCGGAAUUACUGGGCGUAAAGCGUGCGUAGACGGUUGCGUAAGUCAGAUGUGAAAGCCCCGGGCUCAACCUGGGAAUUGCAUUUGAGACUGCAUAGCUAGGGUGCGGAAGAGGGAAGCGGAAUUUCCGGUGUAGCGGUGAAAUGCGUAGAUAUCGGAAGGAACACCAGUGGCGAAAGCGGCUUCCUGGUCCAGCACCGACGUUCAGGCACGAAAGCGUGGGGAGCAAACAGG